GUUUUGACCUCGGAUCAGGUGAGAAUACCCGCUGAACUUAAGCAUAUCAAUAAGCGGAGGAAAAGAAACCAACAGGGAUUGCCUCAGUAACGGCGAGUGAAGCGGCAUCAGCUCAAAUUUGAAAUCUGGCUCUUUUAGGGUCCGAGUUGUAAUUUGUAGAGGGAGCUUUGGCGUUGGCUGUGGUCUAAGUUCCUUGGAACAGGACGUCACAGAGGGUGAGAAUCCCGUACGUGGCCGCCAGUCUUCGCCGUGUAAAGCCCCUUCGACGAGUCGAGUUGUUUGGGAAUGCAGCUCUAAAUGGGAGGUAAAUUUCUUCUAAAGCUAAAUAUUGGCCAGAGACCGAUAGCGCACAAGUAGAGUGAUCGAAAGAUGAAAAGCACUUUGGAAAGAGAGUCAAAAAGCACGUGAAAUUGUUGAAAGGGAAGCGCUUGCAGCCAGACUUGCCUGUAGUUGCUCAUCCGGGCUUUUGCCCGGUGCACUCUUCUAUGGGCAGGCCAGCAUCAGUCCGGGCGGUUGGAUAAAGGCCUGCUAAAUGUACCUCUCUUCGGGGAGGACUUAUAGGGUAGGUGGCAUACAACCAGCCUGGAUUGAGGUCCGCGCAUCUGCUAGGAUGCUGGCGUAAUGGCUGUAAGCGGCCCGUCUUGAAACACGGACCAAGGAGUCUAACAUCUAUGCGAGUGUUUGGGUGUCAAGCCCGAGCGCGUAAUGAAAGUGAACGGAGGUGGGAACCCUUUUGGGUGCACCAUCGACCGAUCCUGAUGUCUUCGGAUGGAUUUGAGUAAGAGCAUAGCUGUUGGGACCCGAAAGAUGGUGAACUAUGCCUGAAUAGGGUGAAGCCAGAGGAAACUCUGGUGGAGGCUCGCAGCGGUUCUGACGUGCAAAUCGAUCGUCAAAUUUGGGCAUAGGGGCGAAAGACUAAUCGAACCAUCUAGUAGCUGGUUCCUGCCGAAGUUUCCCCUCAGGAUAGCAGUAACGUUUUUCAGUUUUUGUGAGGUAAAGCCGAAUGAUUUAGAGGC
This 1016-nucleotide ribosomal RNA is filed under the name uncultured Ascomycota. RNAcentral's name for it is "eukaryotic LSU rRNA". It matches the Rfam family "Eukaryotic large subunit ribosomal RNA", at positions 1 to 1028 of the family's 3401-position model. The record is from RNAcentral. Lineage: Eukaryota; Fungi; Ascomycota.